Tyto alba (common barn owl) is the source of this 601-nucleotide long non-coding RNA. RefSeq lists it as uncharacterized. The transcript has 3 exons. The record is from RefSeq and is a predicted model, not a curated record. Lineage: Eukaryota; Metazoa; Chordata; Aves; Strigiformes; Tytonidae.
UGCGGGCUCUGAAUUUGAGGGGAAAAGUGAACCAAGGAAAGUUUACAAUUACAUUUAAGGGCAUGUCCCUUCGCACCGUCCCCUUCUAAGCCUGCCUGGGCUCCACUGGCUGCUUUAGCGCUUUGCAGGACUGCAGACCCUGGCGCUAAGGAAUGGAGAGCCUGCAGUGUCCCCCGUCAUGCAGUAGCAACGCGUUCCUGCGUGUGUUCAAAAGCUUAUCUAAUGGACACACAGCAGAGCCCUUGGACCUGUGCCCUCUGCCGAGGCCUGCGAGCCUUGCCUGAGUGGAUUAAGCGGUGGUGGCGGCGGCGAGGGCGGCGUUACACGCGGGCUGGGCACCGGGCGGCGCUGAUGCAGGAGCAAAAGCUUCAAGGGAAGCCUGUGAAGACAAGUGGGGGAAAAUGAAGCCUAUGAAAGCUUAACUGGUGAGAAUACUCAUACCUGCUUGGAAUCUCCUGGAUGUUACCACACCAUCAUACCUAAUGACUAAAGUUCCUGUUUACUCUUGAAAAAGAGAGAUGGUUCAAAAGUGACUUCUCCUCUCAAGAGUGAAACAGGCAAAGAGAAGGCUGAAAGGCACAACAGAAGAAGCGUCUCUACC